UCUUUUCAGUUUGUGUUCUAUCGAAUGGUACUGCAUACCUUGCUAGAAACUUUUCAUUUCUAAAUUUAUGUACUAAUUAAUGUUUACAUCAAAUACUAAUCGAAAAUUCCCUAUUCUUUCUUUUGAACUUUGUGCAGACAACGAUCAGAUUAUCGCAUUUUACGCUGACUUUCUUUUCAACAUCAGAGUUACCGUGCAAUUCUGUUCUAAGAUAUAUCCAGUAUAUGAGACUUACUUGCACGAUGGUUUUAGUACAUCAUAAAUGUUAGAAUCCUUAACACAAAAGCAAGCAUCAAUUUGUACACAAUCUACAAUUCCCAUUCACGAAUGUUGCAUAGGUAAUUUAUUUUCCUCAUGAAUUCAGGAAUGUUGUAUAUAUACUUUUUAUUCCAGGAAUGUUGCAUAGUUAUUUUCUAGAAUCGAUUCCUUGUUCCACACCACUCUUAAUUUUAUGUCUAAGACUGCAUGAUUCAUUCUUCCAGUCUUUCUAUCAAUUUCUCUUCUUUCUUUAUGUCUAACCAUGUUAGUGGAGAUGAAGCUAUGAUGUGAACAUGGAGGCCAAUCAGAUGGUUGUGGUGGCAGAUCACAAGGGCGACGAGUUCAUCAGCCUUGAGGCCCCUUGAGGAGGAGUGUCAUAAAAUCUGGAGGAGCUUGACGAGAAACAAGGUGAGCAAUGACCCUCUUGCCCUUUCGGAAUUUCUUAGACUUUCCUGAAAAAUGCAAAAUUUUGAUCUGAUAUUUGUUUCAUGUACCAUACAAAGGUAAGGGCAAUCAGACACAUAGGGCCUGGACAAAUUAGCUUAUCAUAGAGGCACAACCCAAUCACAGGUAGCUCACUACUUGCAUUAUUGUGUAAAUAAUUUGUAAUAACGAGAAAAAAUUGAAUACUGCUAUGUUGCCACUGUAGUUUUACCUUAUGGAAUAAAAAAUUCCACCAUUGUUAGAAAACAAAAGUAGAAGAUCCGAACCUUCUAUUUGGUAAAGACUAUUUUAACGCUGAGAUAUAACAUGUUUUCACCAAGGAGGGCAGUUCAAGCAAUGCAAAGCCAUGGCCUCCAACGAGAUGAUUACACGUGUACCACAUAUCCUGUUGAGACAAGGUCUGUCACUCCUCUUCCAUGGCGCCAAGCGCUGGGUUGUGGACCUACCACAAGCUAGCCUCCUCCCUCGAGUACCAUAACCAACGACAAGCGGCGGAGAAGAACAUGGGCGUGCCACCAGGGAUAGGUAAUGGCGGCAGCGGUGGGGAGAAGGCGUUCAUCGAGGCUAGCGGCUGGAAGGCAGGGGACUUGGCAGUCCGGUCGCCAGUAGUGGGGAGGCAAGGAAAGGAUUCUUCACCAAAGGGAAAUGGAGGGAGAUAGAAAGAAGGAAGGUCGAGAGUGGGGAGGCAUGCAAGAGGCACUAAGAGGGUGGCCGUGUCCCAGUUUGGGUGUGAGUUUCUUUUAUUUCCAGUUUGGGUGUGAGUUUCUUUUAUUUUUUCGCAGUGUCAUGACUCAUGGAAAGUUUCAAGUUAAUUAAGGCUUAAAAAGAAAGUUUGAUUAUGCGUA
This is a long non-coding RNA of Lolium rigidum, 1547 nucleotides long. RefSeq lists it as uncharacterized. The transcript is spliced from 3 exons. The record is from RefSeq and is a predicted model, not a curated record. Lineage: Eukaryota; Viridiplantae; Streptophyta; Magnoliopsida; Poales; Poaceae.